This 593-nucleotide long non-coding RNA is filed under the name Musa acuminata (dwarf banana). Its description in RNAcentral is "long non-coding RNA (MACU_LNC006930)". Lineage: Eukaryota; Viridiplantae; Streptophyta; Magnoliopsida; Zingiberales; Musaceae. The record is from RNAcentral.
UGCCAAGAGAAGUGCAUUUAGUGUGAAACACAUUUUUUCUCACCCAACUUUCAUCGUCGGCCACAUAUGACACUUGUAAACUACGUUGCAAUACAAUAGACAAACCAUGAUCAGCAUAAGUAAUCUCUUCCUCAUCAUCAUCGUAUUUUGGUUCGUUGUCAGUUUCAUCUUCUCCUCCAUCACUAUGAUCUUCAACCAAAGUUACAAUCCUCCUAUUUGGACAAUCUGAUGCGAUAUGCCCAAAACCAUGACAUUUGAAGUAUUUUCGGCCACUUGGGGUAGAAGAAUUAGGUGUUUUUUUGCUGCCAACAGAUUCUUCACCCUUUUCUUGCACCUUCGAUAUCACCUUGCUUUGGAUAGUAGGCUUGGAACUUCCUCCUUUUGUGUAGCCUUCUUUUGAGCUAUACCGAAAACUCUUUUCAAACUUCUGUUGCUUUUCAACUUUUAAUGCCAGCUUGCUCACAUCAUUUAAAGACCAAUAUGAUUAUAGCUGAACAACUUUAGCAAUCUCAUACUUCAGACCUCCCAAGUAUCUUGCAAUUGUUUGCUCUUCCGGUUCCACAAGUUCUCCUUUUAACAUCAAAUUAUCAAAU